This 3703-nucleotide long non-coding RNA is filed under the name Homo sapiens (human). Its description in RNAcentral is "HSALNT0171512". The record is from RNAcentral. Lineage: Eukaryota; Metazoa; Chordata; Mammalia; Primates; Hominidae.
UGUCCGCCAGGCUGGAGUGCGGUGGCGUGAUCUUAGCUCACUGCAACCUCCGCCUCCUGGGUUCAAGCAAUUCUCCUGCCUUAGCCUCCUGAAUAGCUGGGAUUACAGGCUCCCGCCACCACGCCUGGUUAAUUUUUGUAUGUUUAGUGGAGACGGGGUUUCACUGUGUUGGCCAGGGCUGGUCUUGAACUCCUGACCUCAAGUGAUCCACCUGCCUCGGCCUCUGAGAGUGCCGGGAUUACAGGCGUGAGCCACUGUGCCUGGCCUGAUCUGGUUAACUCUUAUAUUUCAGUGCUUUCCUAGUGUCUGCUAUUUAUUUGUUUAUUCACUUAACAAAUACCUUUGAAGCUUACCAUGUGGCAGGCCCUGGACUAGGCACAGGGAGAACAGUGGCCACAGUCCCAUUUUCCUAGAGGUUAUAGAAGGUUAUGGUAGAAAAAAACCAGGAAUUAAUAAAAUAAUCACACAAAUAAAUGUGUGAGUUAUUCGUUGAGAGAAAGUAGCAAGAUAUAACAAAGGAAUUUCAUCUAGUCUGAGGUUGUAAAAGACUUCCCUGUGAAAGUGACAUUUGAACUGAAAUCCAAAAAAUAAGUAGAAGUGAAUGCGGUCAAGUGGAAUGGAGGUGGGGGUGGGAUGGGGGAAGAUCAGGGUCUACAGUGGGAGGCACUUUGGCAUUUCCAAGGUACUGAAAGAAGGCCAAUGCAAGAUGAGGCCGACAGCUGGGCAGUGGUCAGGCUGCCAGGUCAGGGACCUCAGGGGCUAUGUUAAUGAUUUUUUCUUCAUCCUAAGGGCAGCAAGGAGUUAUUGAAGUCUCCGAGAGUGCACUUGCCUUAAUCAGAUUUGAAUUUUGAAAGCUCACUUUGGCUAUUUCAUGGAGGGGACUGUUAAGUGGGUGGAGGUGGAUGUGAGCAGCUCAGUUAGGAGGCUCUUGCUGUAGUCCUGGCCAGUAAUGAGAGUAUCUUGGGCAACAAUGGAGCUGAAGAAGAGUGCGUGGAUUCAAGAGCUGUUUAGACGGGUAUAGUCAACAGGCCUCAGUGAUUGGUUCGAUGUGGGUGAGGGACAAGGAUGACUCCUAAGUUCCUGGCUGUUGGACCUUCUGGAUAGUGGAUUAUUUCUUUCAAGGUGGCAGAUGCUUGAAGAGGCCAAUUUGAGCGUAGAGAUUGUGAGCUCACUUUUGGACAUGCUGAGUUUGAGAUGCCUUUGGGGAAUCUGAGAGGCAAAGUCAGGUUGGCAGUUAGAUUCACAGAUCUGGAGCUGAGAGGAGAGGUCUGGGCUGGAGAUAGGAGUUUUGGCAUUAUUGGGUUGUAGAGGUAAUCAAAGCCAUGGAUGUAGAGUAGCUUGGCCCUGGAAAGUGGGCAUCCUGAAGUGAGAAGGGAAAUGAAGCUAGUCAUAGCCUUGAGGCCCUCCAACAUUCAAUGGAUGUGUAGAGGAUGAAACUGCCAAGGAUAGUGACAACUGGAGAGAGGCAGGAAGAAGAAAAGAGGCUACUUGAAAAAGAAGUGGUAGGGUAUCAUGUCAAAAGACACACAGGAAGAACUCAACAAAUGUUUGAUGAAUGAAAUAAAAAAUGAAUUAAUGAAUAAAUGAGACUUGCUUCAGAUUACAUGGCCAGGAAAGCUAGACCUGGGAGUCAAACCCCGGUCAUCUUUAAUUCUCUGCACUUUCCCUUAUACCGUGCUGACUUUCACGUCCAAAAUCUUACAUUGAAAGAGGGGACCCUUCUUAGAAAAGGUGGGGAUUGAACUGAGGUUUUGAAAGAAGGUUUGGAUUUGCAGAGUGGAGUGGGUAUUUCAUUUGGAUUCGAUGGCACUGCCAAAGACUUGGAGCUGGAGGUGAGAAAAGCAUGCUGACCCUUACGCCUUUGCUUUCCUCCUUCUCGUCCUCAACUUCUAAACCCUUGUUGGCUCUUCCAUUUGUUACCCCCAUUCCCAUAUGUGCUUCUUUCCAUCUACCACUUGACUCUGGUCCUCCCUAUGCCAGAUCAACUGCCUGUGACCCUUGACUGCUCCGCUUGGACAAGUGGUCUCUAAACUUACUUCCUGCUUUAUCUUAUGCUCGUUUUUAAACAUUAGCCCAUCCAGAAGCUGCAAUAUUCAUUCAUUAAUUAUUCAUUUAUUUAACAAGUGGUAAUGAAUGCCUGAUACAUGUCAGGCACUAUUCUAGCUUCUUGGCAUGCAUUAAUCAACAAAACUGACAAAGAUCCCUGCUUUUAUUUAGCUGACAUUCUAGCAAGGAGAGACAGACAAUAAAAUGAGUAAACCAUGGAGUAUGUUAGAAGGCAACAACUGAUACAAAAAAAAAAGAAGAGAAAAGCACAGCAGGAUUAGGGGGAUUGCAUGUGGGGCUGGAGGUCAAGGUCACAGUGUAGGUUUUAGUCCUGAGUUAUCAAAUCUGACAGCCUUUUUCCAUACCUUGGUCCACUGCUUUCACUGCUUCCCUGCCAAACUUCCCAAGACUCUGAGGCCAGGCUCCAUCUCCCACAGCCCCAUCUAUUCAGCAGUUUGACUAUGAUGUCCCUUUCACACACCUGAACUUUGAGAUUUCCAAUUGCCCUGGCCUAAAUGUCAUAAACAUCACACCCCUCUGCCUGGCUUUUGAAGCACUCUGCAAUCUGACCUGGCCCAUCCACUUCUGUGACACUUGGUUUUACCAGUUCGGGUGCAUUUGCCCUUGUUGCCUUGAGAGUGACUUGCUCAUGCAUCUGGAAUUUCUUCAGCAGAUAAGCCCUGUGUUAGAAUUGGGGACAGAGGGAUGAAUUAAAUUCCAUUUCUGUUCUUGAGAUGGCCACGGCCCAGUGUGGAAAAAAGUUUUCCAGCAGUUACAAGACGUUAUGGGGUAGAUGUGAUUAAUGGGGCCCUCGAGUCAGUCCUGUCCUCCAGCAGCCGUGAACAAUGGACCCCAAGUCAUGUCAGUGUGGCCCCUGCUACCCUCACCAUCUUGCACCAGCAGACAGAGGCAGUGCUGGGAGAGUGUCGGGUGCGUUUCCUCUCCUUCCUGGCCGUGGGCAGAGAUGUCCACACGUUUGCAUUCAUCAUGGCUGCCGGCCCAGCCUCCUUCUGCUGCCACAUGUUCUGGUGCGAGCCCAAUGCUGCCAGCCUCUCAGAGGCUGUGCAGGCUGCGUGCAUGCUUCGCUACCAGAAGUGUCUGGAUGCCCGUUCCCAGGCCUCCACCUCCUGCCUCCCAGCACCCCCUGCUGAGUCUGUGGCACGGCGUGUAGGGUGGACUGUCCGCAGGGGUGUUCAGUCGCUGUGGGGCUCCCUGAAGCCCAAACGGCUGGGGGCCCAUACCCCAUGAAGAAGCCCCCACCUUCCCUCCACCUGCUUGUGUUGGGCCCCAGGGAACUAAAGGGUGUGGGUCAGGGAGGGGUCUAGAGGCUAUUCCUAGGCCUCAGGCCUCCCAAAUAUGCCCCUCCCCAGUAGCUACGGUUCCCUGCCUAGGAGCUGGGGAGGGAGAGAUCUAAUCCCUUCAAGGAAGUGAUAACACUGGAGUGGUAACAAGAGGAGCAGGAAGCAAGGCCAGCCCUGGUUCUCCAUCCCCAUGUGUUUCAGGUGGAACAGGAGGAACUGGUCCAGGCCAGGCCUCAUCCUCCUGGACCCAGCAGGGGCAGAAGGAGGAAGGGACUGGUCCAGGCAUGGGUCCCUUCCCCCUGCUCCAUGGGCACCUCUGCUGUAUUGAUAUCACUAAUAAAGUCUGUCUGCACUGC